RNAcentral lists this ribosomal RNA (253 nucleotides) under uncultured bacterium. RNAcentral's name for it is "partial 16S ribosomal RNA". It matches the Rfam family "Bacterial small subunit ribosomal RNA", at positions 524 to 776 of the family's 1533-position model. The record is from RNAcentral.
UACAGAGGUCUCAAGCGUUGUUCGGAUUCAUUGGGCGUAAAGGGUGCGUAGGUGGCAGGGUAAGUCGGAUGUGAAAUCCCGGGGCUCAACCCCGGAACUGCAUUCGAUACUGCCUUGCUAGAGUACUGGAGAGGAGAUUGGAAUUUACGGUGUAGCAGUGAAAUGCGUAGAUAUCGUAAGGAAGACCAGUGGCGAAGGCGGAUCUCUGGACAGUUACUGACACUGAGGCACGAAGGCCAGGGGAGCAAACGGG